CUUUCUAAGAUUCUUUUUUACCUUAUGUUUUAAUGAAAUUUUUAUUCUAAAUUACAAAUAUUUUUGUUCUCUUUUGGUUUCUUUACAACUUUUAUCUUAAAAGACCAUGUAUGUCAACUUGACUUGUGAUUUCUAUUUAUCACUAUACAAAUGAUUUUAGGUUCUUAAAUCCAUAUUUAAGACUUUCUUUGUUUAAAAACUUCUCCUAUCUUUUAAGAUGCAGCAAUAUAAUUAUGCAUCAAAAGAUCUAAUUUAAUUCGUUAAUCUCUUUUACUAAAUACUAUGAAUCUUUUUUUUUUUUUUUUUUUUUUUUUUUUUUUUAACUUAUUCUUCAAAUCACCAUUAAAAAUCUAAAUGGUGAAAUUUAUUUCUGAGCAUGUUUCAUUUCAAGUAUCCUACUAUUGAUUUCUUCCAAACACCUCUCAAACAAUUGUAAUUAUUAUAAAAUAUUUAAUACAAUUAUUUAUAACUCAUUUAUUUUGCUUUGUAAUAUUAAUAAAUUUUGUCUAAACAUAUUUUUAUGACUUUGUUUACAUAUCUCAUACUUUUAAAAACUUAGAUGCUAUUGAGUAAUUUUAUUUAUUUAUUGAUUUUAUUCAUUGAUUUAUUUUAAAAACUACAUAACAACUUCAUAAUUUCUUGUAUGAUUUGUAGCAAGAUGAUGCACAUGGCACAACUGAUAUUCAUACAUCCUUUCGUAUAAUAUACAAGUAUUAAAUCUAUUUUUAAAUAUAAAAUUAUUAUAAUUCUUUAUAAGUUGACUAGAAUUGAAUUGUUAUUUUUAUAUUUUUUAUAUUUUUUUAUCUAGUAGCAACAAAAAUCAAACAACACCCAUAGUAAACUAAUAGGAAAUUAGUAGCUUUUGUUUAUUUUUUACUUACAGCAUUAUAUUGAUUUGGACACAUUUUUAUAGAUUGAUACAAUCAAGAUAUACAGAUUGUUGCACAAUUGAAGUAGAAGGAGAAGAGUAAGUCUUUGAAACCUACAGAGGAUACUUUGAAUAUGACUUUUGAGUCUUUAUGAGGUUCAAGGCCUUAAUUACAUAAUCAAGUAAUCUUUGAGGCAAAUUUUGAUUAAUACACUGUAUUCCAUUUUUUUUUCAAUUUUUUGAUUUUCCAUAACUUCAUUCUAAAAAUUCUGAUUUAUAUUUUUUAAUAUUAUUAGUGAGAAUAAAAGAGCUAUCAACACAAAUAUAGUAUUAAUAUUUUAUUUUAUAUCAUUUAGUAACUAAAACUCUAUAAAAUUAAAUAUAUCUUAUUCUAAUAAUAUUUAUUUUUCAUUAUUAUUUUUGUUCUUUUUAUUCCUUAUAUUUCUUAAUCACACCAUUAAUCAGAAACAAUUCUAAAGCAAAAACACUUUGUAAUUUGAGUUGAAUAAAAAAUAAUUUCUUCUAUCCUUAUCUUCUAAAUAUUAUAUUCUGAUAUUUCUUUGUAAUAAAAACUUUUAAUAUUUGGAAAUUUAUUUCUAAUUUUUUUGCUUCAUACAGCUUAUAUUACAUAUGUUGUCUCCACUAAUAUAAUCCAUUUAAAAUAAUGAUAUUUCACAGAUUGUGGACUAAUAAUAAAGUAAUCUGUAUAUUCCGCAAAAAA
Molecule: long non-coding RNA, 1589 nt
Filed under: Physcomitrium patens
Lineage: Eukaryota; Viridiplantae; Streptophyta; Bryopsida; Funariales; Funariaceae
Description: long non-coding RNA (PPAT_LNC007303)
Source: RNAcentral